RNAcentral lists this ribosomal RNA (486 nucleotides) under uncultured bacterium. RNAcentral's name for it is "partial 16S ribosomal RNA". It matches the Rfam family "Bacterial small subunit ribosomal RNA", at positions 30 to 507 of the family's 1533-position model. The record is from RNAcentral.
AUUGAACGCUGGCGGCAUGUCUUACACAUGCAAGUCGAACGGCAGCACGGGUGCUUGCACCUGGUGGCGAGUGGCGAACGGGUGAGUAAUACAUCGGAACAUGUCCUGUAGUGGGGGAUAGCCCGGCGAAAGCCGGAUUAAUACCGCAUACGAUCUACGGAUGAAAGCGGGGGACCUUCGGGCCUCGCGCUAUAGGGUUGGCCGAUGGCUGAUUAGCUAGUUGGUGGGGUAAAGGCCUACCAAGGCGACGAUCAGUAGCUGGUCUGAGAGGACGACCAGCCACACUGGGACUGAGACACGGCCCAGACUCCUACGGGAGGCAGCAGUGGGGAAUUUUGGACAAUGGGCGAAAGCCUGAUCCAGCAAUGCCGCGUGUGUGAAGAAGGCCUUCGGGUUGUAAAGCACUUUUGUCCGGAAAGAAAUCCUUGGCUCUAAUACAGUCGGGGGAUGACGGUACCGGAAGAAUAAGCACCGGCUAACUACGUG